This 390-nucleotide long non-coding RNA is filed under the name Elaeis guineensis (African oil palm). RNAcentral's name for it is "long non-coding RNA (EGUI_LNC080513)". The record is from RNAcentral. Lineage: Eukaryota; Viridiplantae; Streptophyta; Magnoliopsida; Arecales; Arecaceae.
GCAGGUCUUCAGGAAGUCUACUGCCCGCUUGCAGCUCCCAAUCUCUCCUUCCAUCCCUUUGCUUCUCACUGAAGCUUUUGGAUAGUAACUUCACAGGCAGUUCACAAGCUUUUUGCAAGAGUAGAGUCGCCAUCAAAUAUUCUUUUGAGCCGGAUGGCCUGUAGGACUUUUGGAGCUUUCUUAUUGGGGACUCAUGCACAUAGGGAGGAGUAGAGCUCGUCAUGGGCCGGGUUUGGGCACAGAAUAUGCUAAAUUUUAAAUAUAUCCAGUCUAAAAUUCGACUAAAAAUAAAUAUGAGUUGAGCCAGAUGUCUGGCCUAUGAUUAUCUCUUCAUAGAAUGCUGAGAAGGAGAAUGUGCACGGCUGAUAGGGAUGGAAAGAGGCUCAGGCC